This 501-nucleotide ribosomal RNA is filed under the name uncultured bacterium. RNAcentral describes it as "partial 16S ribosomal RNA". It matches the Rfam family "Bacterial small subunit ribosomal RNA", at positions 30 to 523 of the family's 1533-position model. The record is from RNAcentral.
AUUGAACGCUGGCGGCAGGCUUAACACAUACAAGUCGAGCGGGGUGAUGGUGCUUGCACUAUCACUUAGCGGCGGACGGGUGAGUAAUGCUUAGGAAUCUGCCUAUUAGUGGGGGACAACAUCUCGAAAGGGAUGCUAAUACCGCAUACGUCCUACGGGAGAAAGCAGUGGAUCACUUGUGACCUUGCGCUAAUAGAUGAGCCUAAGUCGGAUUAGCUAGUUGGUGGGGUAAAGGCCUACCAAGGCGACGAUCUGUAGCGGGUCUGAGAGGAUGAUCCGCACACUGGGACUGAGACACGGCCCAGACUCCUACGGGAGGCAGCAGUGGGGAAUUUUGGACAAUGGGCGAAAGCCUGAUCCAGCAAUGCCGCGUGUGUGAAGAAGGCCUUCGGGUUGUAAAGCACUUUUGUCCGGAAAGAAAUGGCUCUGGUUAAUACCUGGGGUCGAUGACGGUACCGGAAGAAUAAGGACCGGCUAACUACGUGCCAGCCGCCGCUGUAA